This 331-nucleotide ribosomal RNA is filed under the name uncultured Glomeromycotina. RNAcentral describes it as "eukaryotic LSU rRNA". Lineage: Eukaryota; Fungi; Glomeromycota. The record is from RNAcentral.
CAGUCGUACCUGCGGAUAAUCAGCCUUUAGGAUGCGAUUUUGUGGAGUGUGAGGAGCUAAUCCCCUUCACGCAGAUAUAUUGGAGUACCCGGGGUGAUAUUAUUCGUGUGGUAAGUUAACAUCAAUUUUGGUCGUCAUAAAAUGAUAGGAGGAAAGUAGGUUAGAUAUGGUACUGUAGUGUUAUAGCCUUUGGUAGAUGUGAUUAUCGGGAUUGAGGAUUGCAACGGAUGCCCUUCGGGGGUGUUGGUAUGAUCUAACAUCGUUGGUCUGGAACCUAAAGCGUCUCCAAGAUAUCAAAGUCGAGGGUUAAUAGGUUAGAGCGGGUUAAAUU